Molecule: ribosomal RNA, 567 nt
Filed under: Alternaria alternata
Lineage: Eukaryota; Fungi; Ascomycota; Dothideomycetes; Pleosporales; Pleosporaceae
Description: eukaryotic LSU rRNA
Rfam family: 5.8S ribosomal RNA (bases 196-349)
Source: RNAcentral
UCCGUAGGUGAACCUGCGGAGGGAUCAUUACACAAAUAUGAAGGCGGGCUGGAACCUCUCGGGGUUACAGCCUUGCUGAAUUAUUCACCCUUGUCUUUUGCGUACUUCUUGUUUCCUUGGUGGGUUCGCCCACCACUAGGACAAACAUAAACCUUUUGUAAUUGCAAUCAGCGUCAGUAACAAAUUAAUAAUUACAACUUUCAACAACGGAUCUCUUGGUUCUGGCAUCGAUGAAGAACGCAGCGAAAUGCGAUAAGUAGUGUGAAUUGCAGAAUUCAGUGAAUCAUCGAAUCUUUGAACGCACAUUGCGCCCUUUGGUAUUCCAAAGGGCAUGCCUGUUCGAGCGUCAUUUGUACCCUCAAGCUUUGCUUGGUGUUGGGCGUCUUGUCUCUAGCUUUGCUGGAGACUCGCCUUAAAGUAAUUGGCAGCCGGCCUACUGGUUUCGGAGCGCAGCACAAGUCGCACUCUCUAUCAGCAAAGGUCUAGCAUCCAUUAAGCCUUUUUUUCAACUUUUGACCUCGGAUCAGGUAGGGAUACCCGCUGAACUUAUUACCCAGCUACAUCAAU